Long non-coding RNA from Sphaeramia orbicularis (orbiculate cardinalfish), 4968 nucleotides. RefSeq lists it as uncharacterized. NCBI's taxonomy places the organism in Eukaryota, Metazoa, Chordata, Actinopteri, Kurtiformes, Apogonidae. The record is from RefSeq and is a predicted model, not a curated record. The transcript has 2 exons.
UAAAAGAAUCUCUUUAUUAAUUGCUUUCAAGAGAUUUGGUCCACUUGUGUGAUCAUGAACUUCCAACCAGGGAGGAGAAAAGAGAAAACAAAGUCAGGAAGAUAAAACAACAGAAUGUAAAAAUACAGUACAAAAAGAGGCCUUGUUUUUUCCACUUAUCACAACCCCGGUUUCUUUAUCCACUGUUUUGAAAAACAUUUUGCAUAACCAAUCAUUUUUAUCUGACUGAAAUAAACAAAUGCAUUAGAAUUUUUCUGCAGCUGUGUAGGUGUGCAUUUGGUGCUGGGGAUCACCUGACAAAUACCAGUAAGGGGACAAAGCAUCAUGUGAAUACAAUUACACUGUAAUUUUAUUAGUCUGUAAAAACUAUGAAUGGUUGUGUGACUUUACUAAAACACGGAAGCCACCAUCAGAAAACAAAGAGAACCAUUACAUGUCACAAAUGUCAUUUUAACACAGAAUGCAUGAUUAUCAUGAGAAGCAGCUUCUUGCUCAGCCAGUUUGAGGAACCUGGUCAAAAUUCAAUUCAGGUCAAAAGUCAAGGUGUGCAAUGUAGAACAGAGAUUUAAUUUUUAUAAGAUUGUCCUCAUGUUAGAAGAUGCAGCACAAAGCUUAUAAAUCAUGAACAAGCAGGUGUUGUGAGGAGUGGAAAAACGUGUUGAAAAACAUGGAAAAAUAUAAAUGUCCAAAAAACUGUGCAGAGGGAUUUAAAAAUAUAAAUUGACUUUCACCCAGAAACUCAUGUUCAUCUGUGAUAUUACAUUUGUCUCCAUGGCUGCAUUUUAUUUAACUUCAGUGUCUCUCUAGUGAUGGAUUUGACUGGAACACAGUGUUCAUUGUGUAACCAUCAUGAGGGUCGGUGCUAAAGUGCACCGCGUUAGUUCAACAAGGCUGAUAUGAGCAGCUAUAACAGAAAUGUACAUGUUUGAGGUGGCUCUAAACCUGUCACUUCUUCUAUGUUUGAGUCAUGAUCCCACUGCUUUUAAGAGCACACCAACAAAACAUGCAGUACAGGCAUCAACUGUUUUCUUGUUUUUCUGUGUGGGUCAGUUACCUCAUUAACACCGGCUGUUCUACAACAGGAGCCUUGACUUAAAUGCUGUAUUUUGUCAGUUCAACCUUAAAAGCAGCAUUUCAUCAUUGUGGCUGUUGUUUUUAUAGAACACAAGCCAUGUUCACUAUUUUCAAUUUAAAGGAUAUCUAUGUAUUUUAUGUAGCUCUGUCUUUCAAUUAAAAGUUUCCUGCUUAAUGACGACUGAAAAAGAGCAUUUGAUUGUAUAGUUCCUAUAUCCCAACCAUUAAAAAAAUAUAAAUGAAAAAAGGGAACACUUUACUACUGACCACAGCAAAUUCAUCACAGCCAAAGGAAAAAAACAGCUUCACCAUCUCUUAUCUAAAUGACCUUAUAUGGGUGUCUAAGUAUUAUAAUAGGUAUCAGAUAUCAUAUACUGUAUAUAGUAAGCAGGAUUAUACAAUAAGGGUAUGUAUCAUCUUAUAGGUGUAGUAUAUUGAAUAAGGCGCUAUAUAGGAGUAUAUAAGCCUCUGUGUAUGCUUUGGUUUUCAGGUCUGUCCUUGUCUGGCGAAUCCAGUGCGGGCAGUAAACACUGAGCUCUGCAGCAAAGAUCUGCACUCAAACUUAGUAAAUGUAUAUUUCAAACUAUUGCUGUUCUUCCUCUGGCAAAGCAUUUAAACAAUGCUAAGACCUGACAAACAGAGCUAAGAUUACAUGAUAACAAAGCAGAUGUUUUCUGCUCACUGCCUCCCUGACAGAGCUCUGUACUGUCGCAUACACAGAGGCAUAUUUUUUAAAGUUAAUUAUUAUAUUCAUACAAGGAUACAUAUAUAAAGAAAGAGUUAUACAUUGCAAUGAACAUACAUAUAUCAAUAGCAUAUAGAAGAGAAAUAGAAAUAGUCAAUAGAGAGCAAUCAUUAUCGUCAUUAUAUUCAUCAUAAUACUAGGAGUAGUAGUAAUACGAUCCCUCAAAGAAGCUAAUAUGUGGGCUGUUCCAGACAAGGGUUAAUUUUCAUAAUGUCCACUUGACAAAGCUGAGAGACAAGCUGAACUGUCCUGAAAUCUGUGUUUCAUAGCCUGCUCAGGCAUUCAGGCCCGUUUUUAGAAGUGGGAUAACUAAAGGUUCAGUGUGUUGUAUUUAUUGACAUCUAGUGGUGAAGUUACAGUUUGCAACCAACUGAAUACCCCUGUCUCCCUUCAAAAGGGUUGCUUGGAAGAAAAAAAACAACAAAAAAACACGCAAGUACCCCACAGAGAUUAUGCAUUUGUUUAGUUUGUUCUGAAAUUUUUUAAGUCACAGGGAUAUUAACUGUGGUCGACACUCAAACAUAAGAGGUGACAGUAAUGCCACAGAACAAACCAAAUUUAUAAUGAUGAGCACUGAAACCAUCUACUACCAUCUUAUGAACUUUUCCUAGAUGCAGCUGAUCCCCAGUGGCCUUCAAUAGCAACAUUUGUUUUUGAACUGGAAGUUAUUUAAUUACUGUCUGCUCUAAUGUUUCCAAAUGUUUGUAUGGCAAUGGUAACAGUAAUGGCCCUAAAUCAUGUCUAAAAACAUAUUUUCUUGUAGAAGGACCCCCAAAGCCCCACCUGUGCACUUAACUCAACCAUAAAUAGAAAGAAAAUGCUCACUCAGACAGCACCUAAAUCCCCUGAAAACCCAGGAUGCCACUUGCGAUUUAACAGUAAAAUGAAGUUCUCCCAGAGUAACUGUAGAAAUAUGGUUUACUCUGCCACCUCUAGUGACAUAAAUGAAUCAUUCUAUGAAACAAAAACAUAAUUCUCAUUUUCAUAUUAUUAUACUCAUGAAAAGGUAAUUCUGAAUGUCAUAUCACAUUUCUUCAAUUUGGUCCUAAAUUGCACAAAUUGGAUCUUGAAGAUGGAGUGGCUAAAUACACAAGGAAUAUUUUUUGGCUAUACCAGUAUUUAAAACAUCUCUUCUUAGACACCGCAGAUGUUUUUAUGCAUCAAUCAGACACCACUAUGGAUACAGAAUGUUACAGAAAAUUAAAGAUUCCAUAUUCCUAAUGCACAUAAACUGAUACUUAUGUAAGACGAAUUUAAAAAACAAAAAAGUCUCUUCUCUUGGGUAAAUCUGUGCCUCUGCUCUCAGUUUGUGGUAAUCCACUUCAAUAGAUUCAGCUUAAAACCAAACUCAAAUCAACCUCUGCUGCAACCCUGUCUGGAACAACGCCCACAGGAGGAAAAAAAAAACAAAACAAUCAUAAUAAGAAAAAAAAAAAAUCACUAUAGUCACCUAGUUCAGCGAUACAAGUCAUAUAGCAAUACUUCAAUAACAAGAUGUUCUUCUAUGUAAUAGAAUACAGCAAUACAGCUUUUUCAGGUUAUAUAUAUUUAUUAAGCUUAACCGCUAAGUUAUCCAUUAUUAUUAGUAGUAUACCAUUAAUUGUAAAUAUGGAUAUGAGUGUAUAUGUAUUGGAAUGUAGACAUUCCUCCUUUAUGUCUCAGUCCACUUUAAAGGCUAGAAUUAGAUGGCAACAGAUAUCCUGCCUUCCUGUGUGUGUGUGUGUGUGUGUGUGUAUUUUUAUUUAUUUUUUUUAUUUUUUUUGCAUGUGUGUUCAUGUCACAUGUUGAUCUGUUGUUUAAUAGGCACAAUAAAUGGUGUGAAUUCCUUCCCUGUCUCAAACUAGCAGGUUUCCCAGAAUGCAAAUCUUUGAGUUUAUAAUAAGCUACUGGGAUCAUGUCAGGGUGCAUAUGAGGAACACAGUUUUCCAUUAGAAGGCUACGGCAGCAUGACAGGUGUUCAGUGAAAUAAUGAGCCCAGUUCAACUGAAGACGUGGCAACCUGCCCUUUACAGUCAAGUUAUGUUAAAUAUUCUAAUCAAUAACGAUAGAAAAAUAUAUUCUUAAUGAUCAUCAGUCUUUUCAUUAACUUUUAUCCCAGCUUUUCCCUCUUUAAAUUAAUAUUUAUCUGGACUUUUUUCCCUCCUUAAAUUAUUACAAAUCUCUCAUUUACAACUGAAAUCGUAUGCAGUUUAUUUUCACCAUGGUUCAGUCCAAUUGAGGUCAUCUUUCUUUUUUUUACUGGGCAUCUGUGGUCUGAACUGGUCUACUGUUGCAAACAGCUCUAGUCAUGACUGAGUGCUGCAGUCACUUCCCUAGAUGCCUCCUACACCAAUCUCACAUCUCUGCCAGCUGCACGUCUUGAUGUAUGUGAUGACAAAUGGACCCACAGUCACUUUGGCAACAGCGGCAACAUUACUGUGAACUGUUAGCCUUGUGUACCCGAGUCAGAGCUGAUUAGUUGUAUGCACUGAUGUACAUGGACACAAUCUGACACAAACUACAAGAUUAAUAUACGUGUGUGUGUGUGUGUGUGUGUGUGUCUGUGCUCUUUCCAAGCAACAUUUGGAAUGAUUACCUAACCAGCUAUCAAGGGGACUUAUACCAGUGAAGACGUGGGAGAAUAAAACUAUAUUACUCAAGUUUGGUUUAGGGUAUGUAAGCGUUCUUACAUUCAUUCCACAACCACAGCAAUGUUUUAAAUGACUGACCUCCUCAUUUUAAAGGCCUGUGUAGGCAUUACAUUCAUAGUAUUCUACCAAUAUGGCAGAAAAUAUAACAAGGAAGUACAACUCCCCUAAGACAAAAAUCAUUACGCUCUAAAUCAUUAAUCUCCAGAAUGUUAUUUUGACCCUCUCACUAUAAGUCCAUGAUGAAAUGUGAGUAUAAUUUGGUUGUUAUGCAGUUUAAUGAGGAUUUCCUUGUCCACCAAAAACAUCUUUUCACAACAAUUUGUAGAUUCUUUAGUCUCAUUAUCCAUCUGCAACACUGAGGGCUUGGCUUUUUUUUUUUUAGCACCCCAGAGUUAAAACAUCUACUUUUAGUUUAAGAGUGCUGUGCUUCAGCUGAGUUUCGAAUUACUGCCAAGAAUAAACAAGAACUGCGACCAGCGCACCCACCUAAGAUAUGUUUCAAUGCUGCAAACAUUAAAA